This 1800-nucleotide long non-coding RNA is filed under the name Anas platyrhynchos (mallard). Its description in RNAcentral is "lncRNA (ENSAPLG00020017670.1)". Lineage: Eukaryota; Metazoa; Chordata; Aves; Anseriformes; Anatidae. The record is from RNAcentral.
GUGGUUUACAGCCUGCUUACACUGCUGAAACCUCUCCCUUAGGUCCAUGUCUUGGGGCUGUGGCAAAGCAGUCUGGAUCCAGCCCAAGACCUCCCUCAGCUUCCAGCCCUGGAACUGCUCAGUGGUCUGCAAGUGCAGGAAGAUGUAGCAAUGCCCCCCUGUUGUAUGGUGGCUCUCUUCUUUCAGAUCCGAUGGUUGCUGAAGAUCUGUUUCCAGAAGAUGACUCCAGUGAUUUGACAUAUGGACUCAGCCAAGUUAUUUGUGGGAACCCCGUCAAGGCCCUUCGUGCAAGGAGGCAGAAGCUUGGUGUAUGUUUUUCUUGUACAUGUACACUUCGCAUUCCUGCCAGCUCACCCACAUAAAUUCCAUGAUAAUCUGAGUUUCAACUGUGAUUUCUGGUGGCUUACUCUCAUGUACAGUCCAACCUCCAACACCUGCUCCCCUCAACUCCCCCCCCACAAAAAAAAGGGAAUUGUGCUUGAAGAGGGUGCAGAAUCUUUUGCCCUGAUGUUACAAAGCCUCUGUGCACACGUGCUAGUCCCUGUUGAGGUGGGAUGGUAAAGAGCUGUGAAAGCACAUGGGACCACUUUGGCCAUGGAGUUCAGACUUCAUUAAUUUGUUUUCAACAAGUAUUUGGUCUGGACGCAACCCCAGUCUGUGCUCCCUCACAUACGUGCCGUGAGCCCCCAAAUAAAGAAUAAGGCAAUUAGCAGACAGAAAUCAUUUAUGCCAUCCUGGCUGGACAAAGCACAGGGCAGAGUUGUGAAUUUGUGUGGUAUUUCUACAACAGCUGUUUAGCAAAAGAUUUUUCAGGAGUUUGAUGUUGGUGUAGGUAGUCAGGCCUAAAAGGUUGGGGCUGUUGACUAAAUAAAUAUCAAGCACAAUUUUGUUGUUCUCACCCAUGGGGUAGUGCUGUGGCCCUGCAGAUCAGCCUGUUCGUGUCAGCGGGCCAGUAACUUAGUGAGAGAACACCCGUGGGAUUAAGGGUGGGCAGUCUGGCUCACCAUGAUUAGCUUUUAUGGUCCCUGAGGUUCAGUACAGCACGGCCACAUGUGCAUAAGUUCAAACAGGCUGUGCUAAAUCAGGGAAACGGCAUGUACAGGACACCUGCAUCUCUGCUCUGUCUGCAGCUUCUCUUAAUGCUGACAACAGAUGUUAAAGAACCGCUGGAAAAAAUGCAGCCCUCCCUUUCUCUCUGCUGCCACUGCCCAAACACUGGAAGCUUUUCUGAAGCAAAAGUGAACAUCUGAUUGAAUUACAGUGUGUUGUAAGCUGGGAUGUGAAAGGAGACUGCAGCCAUAUGCUGAGUGGUGCAGUAUCUGCAGUACUGGUCUUAAUAUGCUCAUUGGCAUAGAUGCUGCAGGCUUACACUUGUUUACAGGAGAAUAAUCUGCCAGAGGGAUAUAAAUCAAACCUAUUUGUUCCUUCCACCCUGGGUUCCUCCUGCUGAGCUCCCAGAACUAUACCAGUGUACAGGGCAGCCAUGAGGUUUCUUAAAAUAGAAGAGGUGAGGGGUGAUCUCAGCACUCCGGAGGAACAGCAUACAGACGCCUUCCGAAAUACAAAGUCCAGAAACUGAGCUGGAGAAAGUUUCUGAGGUUAUCAAGACUACUUCUGUCAUUUUUCAGCCACCUGCAGUGAGCCCCUUGAAACAGUGCAGUCUGAAGAUGGAAAACCCUUAUGUCUCUGUAGGAGGAGAAGAUCUGAGCCAGAAGGAUGUCUUUUCUGAGCUGAGAGUAUGGAGAGAACAGCAUAAGCGGUGAGAGUGUGGGAGAAUUCUUGUUAUGCAAUAGACCAGGG